UACGUAGGGAGCAAGCGUUAUCCGGAUUUAUUGGGUGUAAAGGGUGCGUAGACGGGAAGUCAAGUUAGUUGUGAAAUCCCUCGGCUCAACUGAGGAACUGCAACUAAAACUAACUUUCUUGAGUGCUGGAGAGGAAAGUGGAAUUCCUAGUGUAGCGGUGAAAUGCGUAGAUAUUAGGAGGAACACCAGUGGCGAAGGCGGCCUGCUGGACCGGAACUGACGCUGAGGCACGAAAGCGUGGGGAGCAAACAGG
Molecule: ribosomal RNA, 253 nt
Filed under: uncultured bacterium
Lineage: Bacteria
Description: partial 16S ribosomal RNA
Rfam family: Bacterial small subunit ribosomal RNA
Source: RNAcentral